AUACUUACAAAUUUAAACAAAAUAUUUGCAUACAACCACAUUCGGCAAACAAAUAACAACAAAUGAAUGUUUGCGUUUGAACCGAGCGAAAUUAGCGACUUAUCAAGCUACAUCACUCCAGCAACCGCAGCAAACGCCAAUGGCACUACUAGUCUCAUCUACCCCUCUGCCAACGGACAGAUGUAUCGCGUACAUCCGGCCACAACUGUGGCGAAUGUCCCGUCAGCGCAAGCGAAUAGCACGGCCAUUGGCAGCAUCAGCAACGCCAGCCACGCCAGCAACAACAGUAACAAUAACAGCGGCAUGGAUGUAGUGGACGGUCAUCACAGCGAGGGCGGUAAUGGAGGCAGGGAUAGCAACACGUCAAGUGGAUUCUCGCAACGGCUACGUGAAUUGGCGGCAUCUGCGGGACUCUUAUCGUUGAAACCACGACAGCCGCUGAAGCCAGUCAUUAAAACGCGCGGCUCACCAGGUCCUGAAUUUCCGAAGAAGGUCACUUUCAGCGCCUUUGCCACGGUUCAAGUAGUGUAGGGAAGGCGGUAGAUGGCAAUCAAUAUAGCUAAAAAUUAGGUGUGGCCAAUAGGCGCUGACGAUCACAAUUUGCUUUGUUAUAUUAUUGUUGUUAUUUGUAAUUGUUUAUUUUUGUUUAUUGUAAUUGUAAAAAAUUCUAACUGAUGAAGAUGGCUACUUAAAUUACUUUAUGUACAUAUAUACAUAUAAACGCAGUUAGUAAGCAUAA
Anastrepha obliqua is the source of this 739-nucleotide RNA transcript. RefSeq lists it as uncharacterized. The transcript has 3 exons. The record is from RefSeq and is a predicted model, not a curated record. NCBI's taxonomy places the organism in Eukaryota, Metazoa, Arthropoda, Insecta, Diptera, Tephritidae.